Saccostrea cuccullata (small rock oyster) is the source of this 1408-nucleotide long non-coding RNA. RefSeq lists it as uncharacterized. The record is from RefSeq and is a predicted model, not a curated record. NCBI's taxonomy places the organism in Eukaryota, Metazoa, Mollusca, Bivalvia, Ostreida, Ostreidae. The transcript has 3 exons.
CCCAAAGACUAUGGGUUAAGGUAAGUUUUAUAGAAGAGUCUAUUUAUAAAUAAGGGUGUAGUCUAUAUUCAUCCUUUCCAUUGGUCAGUUGUUAUUGUGUGGUCUGAGUUGUCCAUUCAGGCGGGAAAACCUUUGUUUCAAUCUAUUCAUAGCUACAUUCUGAGAAGGGUGUUGUCAGAGAUCUGUGUGUCUAUAUUAAAAACCUGAUAUUAAAUUUUGGAGUAAAUUAAACACCCAUAAACUGUAAGUAAACCUUUUCUUAAACUGAAUAAAUGAUCAUAAACUUCAAUUAAAAGAUAGUGAAUGAAUUAAGUAUUUUAAACUUAAACUUGCUAAACAAGUAUGAAUGUGAUAGAGUGAAAGUUUUAAAGUUAUAAAAGUAAAGAUUGAUAUAUUGAAAGUUAUAUGAGCAAGUUAUAUUUUAAUCUAAUUCAUGUAGAUCUUUAGAAUUGAGAUCUGAGUUUGAAUUAUUAUGAUUUUAUUAUUUGUUAAUUCAUUAGGUCUGUCAUCAUGUAAUUAAUUGAUUCUAAAUCCCCAUCAAGUGAUCACUCAGUUCCAUACACUGGGUUGAUUUCCAUUGAUUUCCACUUAUUUCCAUUGAUUUUCAACUUAUUUAUUUCAUCUUUAAUUCAUCUAUCUCCAUGGAAUAAACGAAUCUAACCCCGUACCGACUUGUUGAUCUUAAUUUCUACAAGAACCGGUUACAAAAAUGGCGCCCAACGGAAAUUGGAGAUAAUUACACCUGGUGGUUCUGCCCGCGCGCUCCAGAAGUGCACUGACUUGGCCAUUCCAUCCAUUACUUCGUAUUCGGCGCCUUGUGACGUCACAGGAAGUUCAUUCUAGGAAUUGCGCAAGACCCGUAUACAUGUGAAUAUUUGUGUUUGUGUUGUGCUUGUGAUAUUAUAUGCGUGAAAUUGUGUUGUGUUUGUGUAUUUGGAUAAUUCACUACCAUGCAUGGUCCGGUCUGUCAUCAUGUAAUUAAUUGAUUCUAAAUCCCCAUCAAGUGAUCACUCAGUUCCAUACACUGGUAUGUUUAAAUUCAUAUUCUUCAAGUAUUGUAAAUAGAUAAUUGAUAAAUGUAAAAGAAAUAUAAUCUUUAGUAAAUUUGAAUUUCAAAGAGUUAUUGCCCUUUGAAUGUGUUUAGUACAAAUGUAAAGUAAUGGCCUAAAUGAAUGUUUUAUGUGUUUAAAUUGAAAUCGUUUUGUGUUGUAAAGUGAAUGUGCUUGUCUUUAUGUUGUCUAUGUGUUUAUACGUUGUUAUUGUUAUUUUAGGGUUGAUUUCCAUUGAUUUCCAUUUAUUUCCAUUGAUUUUCAACUUAUUUAUAUCAUCUUUAAUUCAUCUAUCUCCAUGGAAUAAACGAAUCCAACCCCGUACCGACUUGUUAAUCUUAAUUUCUACAAGAACCGGU